Dreissena polymorpha is the source of this 1269-nucleotide long non-coding RNA. RefSeq lists it as uncharacterized. NCBI's taxonomy places the organism in Eukaryota, Metazoa, Mollusca, Bivalvia, Myida, Dreissenidae. The transcript has 2 exons. The record is from RefSeq and is a predicted model, not a curated record.
AGGAAAUAGAACUUUGAAAUUUAGAAAUUGAUUAUGUAGAUGUGUAAUGUAAUGGGUUAUAAUGAAUAUAUCAUUAUUAUUAACAAACUAAUUUAGGAAAUAGAACCUAGAAAUUUAGAAAUUGAUUAUGUAGAUGUAUAAUAUAAUUAAUAUAUUAUUCUUAUGAGUUUAUAUUUCAGUAAUAUGUAUAUGAAAAGUUAAGAUGAAUGUAUACAUGCAAUGUUAAGAUAAAGUCUGAACAAUUAAUAAUACAACUUGGGAGAUAUUUACAAAACUGACCUGGUUAAGAUUUAUUUAAAGUAAGAAAGCAAACACACUCAGGGUGGGGUAUAAUUGGAAUCAAUAACAUAGAAAGUCAGACCUGAUUAAAUCCAAACAAGAAUACAUUGAGUCCAGAGUCAGCAUAUAGAUACGAGAUUAUAAGUAACAAUCAUGGUCAAUAAACAGCACAGAUGAAAAGGUCUGCUAUUGUCUGGAGUACAAAAGUCAUAGUACUGACGAAAGUAACAGAAUUACUCUAUACCAAUAAAAAUUGAUUAGUACCAAUAUACAUUGAUUAAAUUUUAGUAUAUCCGCCAAGCAAGUGAAUACAUGAAAAAAGUGUUCCUUCUAGAAUAUUCUGACGAAUCAACCAAUGAAUAAUAACCAUACUAGCUGAGGACCAAUCAAAAGUUUAAAAGAAAAAUAUGCAAAUUAAAUUGGGGACAAAAUGGGGAUGUUUGGAAGGAGAGCGGCACUCUGCGCUUGGGUUAGGAAAAUACAACAGAUAGACUUAGAAAAUAAUGUUUAAACUAUAAAUACAAUUUUGAUGUUAGAGAAUAGAGUAAAAUAAAGAAAUAUUUUAGACAUCAGAGACUUGUUUUAUCUUCAUUACGUGACACGUGUUUAACUGGUGCGCGGUGACAGGAUCAACCAGAAGUACCACUUCUUUCACGGGCCAGAGGGAAGAAAACGUGCCGGACCUCCACAACGAACGGGCAAAUAUUCGUAUAUCCGCCAAGCAAGUGAAUACAUGAAAAAAGUGUUCCUUCUAGAAUAUUCUGACGAAUCAACCAAUGAAUAAUAACCAUACUAGCUGAGGACCAAUCAAAAGUUUAAAAGAAAAAUAUGCAAAUUAAAUUGGGGACAAAAUGGGGAUGUUUGGAAGGAGAGCGGCACUCUGCGCUUGGGUUAGGAAAAUACAACAGAUAGACUUAGAAAAUAAUGUUUAAACUAUAAAUACAAUUUUGAUGUUAGAGAAUAGAGUAAAAUAAAGAAAUAUUUUAGACA